AGCAGCCGCGGUAAUUCCAGCUCCAAUAGCGUAUAUUAAAGUUGUUGCAGUUAAAAAGCUCGUAGUUGAAUUUCGAGACCAGUAUGUCGGUCGUGCCUCGGUACGUACUUGCAUUAUUGGUUUCUCCCUUCUGACGAACCUCGAUGCCAUUAAUUUGGUGUCGUGGGGAAUCAGGACUGUUACUUUGAAAAAAUUAGAGUGUUUAAAGCAGGCACACGCUUGAAUACAUUAGCAUGGAAUAAUGAAAUAGGACGUUUGAUUCUAUUUUGUUGGUUUCUAGGAUCGGCGUAAUGAUUAAUAGGGAUAGUUGGGGGCAUUAGUAUUCAAUUGUCAGAGGUGAAAUUCUUGGAUUUAUUGAAGACUAACUACUGCGAAAGCAUUUGCCAAGGAUGUUUUCAUUAAUCAAGAACGAAAGUUAGGGGAUCGAAGACGAUCAGAUACCGUCGUAGU
This 450-nucleotide ribosomal RNA is filed under the name uncultured Glomus. Its description in RNAcentral is "SSU rRNA". It matches the Rfam family "Eukaryotic small subunit ribosomal RNA", at positions 569 to 1024 of the family's 1831-position model. Lineage: Eukaryota; Fungi; Glomeromycota; Glomeromycetes; Glomerales; Glomeraceae. The record is from RNAcentral.